This 468-nucleotide ribosomal RNA is filed under the name uncultured bacterium. RNAcentral's name for it is "partial 16S ribosomal RNA". It matches the Rfam family "Bacterial small subunit ribosomal RNA", at positions 28 to 507 of the family's 1533-position model. The record is from RNAcentral.
GACGAACGCUGGCGGCGUGCUUAACACAUGCAAGUCGAACGGAAAGGCCCUGCUUUUGUGGGGUGCUCGAGUGGCGAACGGGUGAGUAACACGUGAGUAACCUGCCCUUGACUUUGGGAUAACUUCAGGAAACUGGGGCUAAUACCGGAUAGGAGCUCCUGCUGCAUGGUGGGGGUUGGAAAGUUUCGGCGGUUGGGGAUGGACUCGCGGCUUAUCAGCUUGUUGGUGGGGUAGUGGCUUACCAAGGCUUUGACGGGUAGCCGGCCUGAGAGGGUGACCGGCCACAUUGGGACUGAGAUACGGCACAGACUCCUCCGGGAGGCAGCAGUGGGGAAUAUUGCACAAUGGGCGGAAGCCUGAUGCAGCAACGCCGCGUGCGGGAUGACGGCCUUCGGGUUGUAAACCGCUUUCGCCUGUGACGAAGCGUGAGUGACGGUACUGGGUAAAGAAGCACCGGCUAACUACGUG